RNAcentral lists this long non-coding RNA (727 nucleotides) under Trifolium pratense (red clover). Its description in RNAcentral is "long non-coding RNA (TPRA_LNC003728)". Lineage: Eukaryota; Viridiplantae; Streptophyta; Magnoliopsida; Fabales; Fabaceae. The record is from RNAcentral.
AACUUGAAUCUCUAAUUAUAUUAAAGCAUAAAUCUGAAUAUUGAAACUGAAUAAAAGUACUGUAUUAAAACUUACAAAUACUAGUGAAACUAGUACAGGUACACAGGAACGAAGGAAAUCAAAGACAAACUGAUUGAAACUGGAACUGGAAGUGUAAGCAGCAACACCACACCUUUUUGCUCCGUAAACUAAAACACUUAACAACUAAAUUUUAAACUGAAUUUUUCUCUUAAAAAUCUAAGUCUGCGUAGAAAAAGUUGGAAAAACACUGACUAGUGUUCUCUAUUUAUAGGCUUUAUGAGAUAAAAAUAUCUCCUUCGAAUUCGUUGUUCCGUUAUAAGAAACGUGCGUCCCAAUCGUAGUUACUUUCACCGAAAUCUGAGGAGCAGUUGAGGAUAAAGCGGUGUGAAACGUGCCCGUGAAAAUAGGAAACAAACACUACGUGGCGGGUGCCAUAAAGCACAUGGCGGGCGCCAUGUAUACAAAGUCUGUGGCAGGUGCCACAAGGCACAUGGCCGGCGCCAUGGCUUGUUGUGUGGCGAGUGCCACAAGCAUGCCCAACGCCAUGUGUUUGUUUGCACCACAUGUGCAUGGCACAUGCCUUGUGCAUGUGGGCUUGGCUUGUUCGUCCAAUUUCUUUUGGGCCUCUCUUCCAUCUGAUCCAAUGUCUUUUUUAUCCACUUUGACAUUAAUUUUGUGACCCUUUUUUUAUUUCGAGAAGUUCCGG